RNAcentral lists this ribosomal RNA (324 nucleotides) under uncultured eukaryote. Its description in RNAcentral is "partial 18S ribosomal RNA". It matches the Rfam family "Eukaryotic small subunit ribosomal RNA", at positions 1470 to 1796 of the family's 1831-position model. The record is from RNAcentral.
CCCUUAGAUGUUCUGGGCUGCACGCGCGCUACACUGAAGCGUUCAACGAGUAUUCACCUUGCCCGGGAGGGUUGGGUAAUCUUUUGAAAACGCUUCGUGAUGGGGAUAGAUUAUUGCAAUUAUUAAUCUUCAACGAGGAAUUCCUAGUAAGCGCGAGUCAUCAGCUCGUGCUGAUUACGUCCCUGCCCUUUGUACACACCGCCCGUCGCUCCUACCAAUGGGUGAUCCGGUGAAUGACUCGGACUCUGGAAUUAGCUAUUUAUAGCUUUUAUCCGGAGGAAGUUUUGUGAACCUUAUCACUUGGAGGAAGGUGAAGUCGUAACA